CCUACGGGUGGCUGCAGUGGGGAAUAUUGGACAAUGGGCGAAAGCCUGAUCCAGCAAUGCCGCGUGAGUGAAGAAGGCCUUAGGGUUGUAAAGCUCUUUUACCCGGGAUGAUAAUGACAGUACCGGGAGAAUAAGCUCCGGCUAACUCCGUGCCAGCAGCCGCGGUAAUACGGAGGGAGCUAGCGUUGUUCGGAAUCACUGGGCGUAAAGCGCACGUAGGCGGCUUUGUAAGUUAGAGGUGAAAGCCCGGGGCUCAACUCCGGAACUGCCUUUAAGACUGCAUCGCUUGAAUCUGGGAGAGGUAAGUGGAAUUCCGAGUGUAGAGGUGAAAUUCGUAGAUAUUCGGAAGAACACCAGUGGCGAAGGCGGCUUACUGGACCAGAAUUGACGCUGAGGUGCGAAAGCGUGGGGAGCAAACAGGAUUAGAUACCCUUGUAGUC
This 440-nucleotide ribosomal RNA is filed under the name uncultured bacterium. RNAcentral describes it as "partial 16S ribosomal RNA". It matches the Rfam family "Bacterial small subunit ribosomal RNA", at positions 338 to 795 of the family's 1533-position model. The record is from RNAcentral.